RNAcentral lists this ribosomal RNA (205 nucleotides) under uncultured Actinomycetales bacterium. Its description in RNAcentral is "partial 16S ribosomal RNA". It matches the Rfam family "Bacterial small subunit ribosomal RNA", at positions 292 to 508 of the family's 1533-position model. Lineage: Bacteria; Bacillati; Actinomycetota; Actinomycetes; Actinomycetales. The record is from RNAcentral.
CUGAGAGGGUGACCGGCCACACUGGGACUGAUACACUCCCCAGACUCCUACGGGAGGCGGCAGUGGGGAAUAUUGGACAUGGCCGGAAGCCCCACCCCCCAGACGCCGCGGGGAGGGAUUACGGCCUUCGGGUUGUUAACCUCUUUCACCACAGACCAAGCGCAAGUGACGGUAUGUGCAGAAUAACGACCGGCCAACUACGUGC